This 71-nucleotide transfer RNA is filed under the name Aliarcobacter butzleri. RNAcentral's name for it is "Arcobacter butzleri tRNA-Met". Lineage: Bacteria; Pseudomonadati; Campylobacterota; Epsilonproteobacteria; Campylobacterales; Arcobacteraceae. The record is from RNAcentral.
AAGUUAGUAAUUCUUUAAAAAUUCGGCUCAUAACCGAGUGGUCGAAGGUUCGAGUCCUUCAUGACCCACCA